UUAAUUGAAACCAAAAACCAAGGUAUGUUAUUGUUAAUAACAUUAUUGAAUAUAAUUUUUCCAAUUAAU
Molecule: transfer RNA, 69 nt
Filed under: Acropyga smithii
Lineage: Eukaryota; Metazoa; Arthropoda; Insecta; Hymenoptera; Formicidae
Description: tRNA-Asn
Source: RNAcentral